GAUGAACGCUGGCGGCGUGCCUAAUACAUGCAAGUCGAGCGAACAGAUGAGGAGCUUGCUCCUCUGACGUUAGCGGCGGACGGGUGAGUAACACGUGGAUAACCUACCUAUAAGACUGGGAUAACUUCGGGAAACCGGAGCUAAUACCGGAUAAUAUAUUGAACCGCAUGGUUCAAUAGUGAAAGACGGUUUUGCUGUCACUUUUAGAUGGAUCCGCGCCGCAUUAGCUAGUUGGUAAGGUAACGGCUUACCAAGGCAACGAUGCGUAGCCGACCUGAGAGGGUGAUCAGCCACACUGGAACUGAGACACGGUCCAGACUCCUACGGGAGGCAGCAGUAGGGAAUCUUCCGCAAUGGGCGAAAGCCUGACGGAGCAACGCCGCGUGAGUGAUGAAGGUCUUCGGAUCGUAAAACUCUGUUAUUAGGGAAGAACAAAUGUGUAAGUAACUAUGCACGUCUUGACGGUACCUAAUCAGAAAGCCACGGCUAACUUCGUG
This 497-nucleotide ribosomal RNA is filed under the name uncultured bacterium. RNAcentral's name for it is "partial 16S ribosomal RNA". It matches the Rfam family "Bacterial small subunit ribosomal RNA", at positions 28 to 507 of the family's 1533-position model. The record is from RNAcentral.